AUUGAACGCUGGCGGCAUGCCUUACACAUGCAAGUCGAACGGCAGCACGGCAGUAGCAAUACUGUGGGUGGCGAGUGGCGGACGGGUGAGGAAUACAUCGGGAUCUACCCCGUUGUGGGGGAUAACGUAGCGAAAGUUACGCUAAUACCGCAUAUGCCCUAAGGGGGAAAGCGGGGGAUUCGCAAGAACCUCGCGUUUUCGGAGCGGCCGAUAUCGGAUUAGCUAGUAGGUGAGGUAAAGGCUCACCUAGGCGACGAUCCGUAGCUGGUCUGAGAGGACGACCAGCCACACUGGAACUGAGGCACGGUCCAGACUCCUACGGGAGGCAGCAGUGGGGAAUUUUGGACAAUGGGCGCAAGCCUGAUCCAGCCAUGCCGCGUGAGUGAAGAAGGCCU
Molecule: ribosomal RNA, 395 nt
Filed under: uncultured bacterium
Lineage: Bacteria
Description: bacterial SSU rRNA
Rfam family: Bacterial small subunit ribosomal RNA
Source: RNAcentral